RNAcentral lists this long non-coding RNA (1781 nucleotides) under Centruroides sculpturatus (bark scorpion). Its description in RNAcentral is "uncharacterized LOC111614903". The record is from RNAcentral. Lineage: Eukaryota; Metazoa; Arthropoda; Arachnida; Scorpiones; Buthidae.
GUGAUCUAAUAUGAACCAGGGGGUACAGUGGCUAGAAAAUAUAGUGUCGAAAUCGAGCUUAUUUUCUGCCCCUAUAUUGGAGGUUGCCGCAAGAGGCGCUGCUGUCAAUCGUUGUGCUACACUGGCUGUAUCAUCCUAUGUUUAUAUUGGUUUUAAGUGGGAUUUUUAAGCAUAGUAAAUGUGCUGUAGCCAAGUAAAAGAAUUUAGAUCGAUAAUAAAUCAUAUCACUAGCAAUCAAUUAUUAUAUAGUAUUACUUUAUUAACAUUUAUGAAGGAAUUCAUUUUAUUAAAGCUAAUUAAGAUUCUUAUUAAAUCAAAUAGCCUACACUGUAUUGUCUAUUUUUACAUUACAGCUGUUGAGUGCUGUACAAACAAGUAUUAUUUAGAGUACAAGAGUAAUCUACUCUUGUUAUUACCUUAUUAACAACAAGGUUUAUUCAUAUUUACUAAAAAAAUACAGAAUUUAUCAUAUUUUUAAUAAUAAAAUGUAAGUUUUAUAUGGCUUUGUGAACCUCUUCCACUGUGAGGGCCUAAAAUAGAAUUUAUUAAGCAAAUGCCAUCAGUUACAUAAUACUGUAUACUGUUCACAGUAUUAUGUGACAUAGUAUAAAGCAAUAUUAAAAUUACAAUUAAAUUCUACACAGUAUAUAAAAUAUAAAGGCAGAAUGUUACUUUAUUGUCCCAAUAUAAAAUUACAAAAUUAAGUAUGUACAAAUAAACGAUUAUUAGUCUACUGCCAAGUACCAUGCAUAUACACUUUAUAUUUGAAAAAUCUCUCUUAAAAAAUUACAGAUUAAUAUGCAUGUAGAUUUCUCACCCUUUUCGACAAAAAUAAAAGAAUUAAAAAUUACAGUAGAGUAAUAUGUAUAAAUUAGAAAUACACGAGUCAGUAAAGUUUCUGUUCAGCUAUUUCCUAAGGAUUUAUUCACUUUACAAGCACAAAUUUAAUCGCUUUCGAUGUUCUUGUAAGAAAGGAUAUCACGUAGCCAAAGCGAAAGUAGCACUACGAUUGACAUCAGCGCCACCUUGUCUGUGACGUCACUAACCUCGCUGUAUGGACCGAACGGUUAUAAUGGAGGAAUAUAAGCGCUUUCGACACUAUAUUUUCUAGCCACUGUACAGGGGGAGAAGAAGGAUAGAAUAGAACACGUGAUUUAAGAAUUUGAAGUAAUUCAUGUGCUUAAGAAGAAAUGUUAUUUAGAUUCAAUUCUUAUUGCAAAAAAUUACUUAAUGUAAGCAAUAAAGUGGUUAAAGAUAGGGUAAAAUGCUGGCGAAAUUGUUGCAGUUCCACUUCCUUACCAGAAAUUAUGAAAGAAUUUUCGAAGUAUUCUGGAGGACAGAUAAAACUAUUACAAGAUGAUGAUUAUGGUAUUGCUUACUUAUGCUUAGAUAAUCCUGACAAAAGAAAUGCUCUUACAGGAAUUUGAAGUAAUUCAUGUGCUUAAGAAGAAAUGUUAUUUAGAUUCAAUUCUUAUUGCAAAAAAUUACUUAAUGUAAGCAAUAAAGUGGUUAAAGAUAGGGUAAAAUGCUGGCGAAAUUGUUGCAGUUCCACUUCCUUACCAGAAAUUAUGAAAGAAUUUUCGAAGUAUUCUGGAGGACAGAUAAAACUAUUACAAGAUGAUGAUUAUGGUAUUGCUUACUUAUGCUUAGAUAAUCCUGACAAAAGAAAUGCUCUUACAGACUAGGCCAGGAAUGGCCAACAGUUUUUGCCCCCGGGCCGAAUUGGAAAGAGAACUUUUUUCAUGGGCCGAACCAGAGGCUGCGCGAGCAAGAUUUUGAGG